Molecule: ribosomal RNA, 226 nt
Filed under: Xanthomonas cannabis
Lineage: Bacteria; Pseudomonadati; Pseudomonadota; Gammaproteobacteria; Lysobacterales; Lysobacteraceae
Description: partial 23S ribosomal RNA
Rfam family: Bacterial large subunit ribosomal RNA
Source: RNAcentral
UGGAAAGAUUGGCCAUAGAAGGUGAUAGCCCUGUAUUUAAAAGGGCCACUCCAGUGAAGACGAGUAGGGCGGGGCACGUGAAACCCUGUCUGAAUAUGGGGGGGCCAUCCUCCAAGGCUAAAUACUCCUGACCGACCGAUAGUGAACCAGUACCGUGAGGGAAAGGCGAAAAGAACCCCGGAGAGGGGAGUGAAAUAGAUCCUGAAACCGUGUGCGUACAAGCAGU